Molecule: ribosomal RNA, 450 nt
Filed under: uncultured bacterium
Lineage: Bacteria
Description: bacterial SSU rRNA
Rfam family: Bacterial small subunit ribosomal RNA
Source: RNAcentral
CCGCCAGACUCCUACGGGAGGCAGCAGUGGGGAGUAUUGCACAAUGGGGGAAACCCUGAUGCAGCGACGCCGCGUGAGCGAUGAAGUCUUUCGGUAUGUAAAGCUCUAUCAGCAGGGAAGAAAAUGACGGUACCUGACUAAGAAGCCCUGGCUAACUACGUGCCAGCAGCCGCGGUAAUACGUAGGGGGCGAGCGUUGUCCGGAAUUACUGGGCGUAAAGAGAGCGUAGGCGGCACUACAGGUCUCAUGUGAAAUACCCGGGCUUAACUUGGGGGUUGCAUGGGAAACUGUAGAGCUUGAGUACAGGAGAGGCAAGCGGAAUUCCUAGUGUAGCGGUGAAAUGCAUAGAUAUUAGGGGGAACACCAGUGGCGAAGGCGGCUUGCUGGACUGAAACUGACGCUGAGGCUCGAAAGCGUGGGGAGCAAACAGGAUUAGAUACCCCGGUAAAU